CAGUAGCCACGGGAAUACGAAGGGGGCUAGCGUUGCUCGGAAUUACUGGGCGUAAAGGGAGCGUAGGCGGACUGUUUAGUCAGAGGUGAAAGCCCAGGGCUCAACCUUGGAAUUGCCUUUGAUACUGGCAGUCUUGAGUACGGAAGAGGUAUGUGGAACUCCGAGUGUAGAGGUGAAAUUCGUAGAUAUUCGGAAGAACACCAGUGGCGAAGGCGACAUACUGGUCCGUUACUGACGCUGAGGCUCGAAAGCGUGGGGAGCAAACAGGAUUAGAGACCCCUGUAGUCCCUGUCUCUUAUAC
Molecule: ribosomal RNA, 301 nt
Filed under: uncultured bacterium
Lineage: Bacteria
Description: partial 16S ribosomal RNA
Rfam family: Bacterial small subunit ribosomal RNA
Source: RNAcentral